UGACCACUCAAGCUUUAGCUUGGUAUUGGGGUCCGCGGUCUCGCGCCCCCUAAAAUCAGUGGCGGCGCCAUCUGGCUCUAAGCGUAGUAAUCUUAUCCUCGCUAUAGAGUCCUGGUGGGUGCUUGCCAGAACCCCCCAAUCUUAU
This 145-nucleotide unclassified non-coding RNA is filed under the name uncultured Hyaloscypha. RNAcentral's name for it is "sequence contains ITS2". The record is from RNAcentral. Lineage: Eukaryota; Fungi; Ascomycota; Leotiomycetes; Helotiales; Hyaloscyphaceae.